Molecule: ribosomal RNA, 116 nt
Filed under: Hordeum secalinum
Lineage: Eukaryota; Viridiplantae; Streptophyta; Magnoliopsida; Poales; Poaceae
Source: RNAcentral
CGGUGCGGUAUCCGUUAUUAGGAGCGGGAUCCCAUCAAAACUCCGAAGUUAAGCGUGCUUGGGCGAGAGUAGUACUAGGAUAGGUGACCUCCUGGGAAGUCCUCGUGUUGCAUUCC